AACGCUGGCGGCGUGCUUAACACAUGCAAGUCGAGCGGAAAGGCCCUUCGGGGUACUCGAGCGGCGAACGGGUGAGUAACACGUGAGCAACCUGCCCUAGGCUUUGGGAUAACCCCGGGAAACCGGGGCUAAUACCGAAUAGGACCACCGACCGCAUGGUUGGUGGUGGAAAGUUUUUCGGCCUGGGAUGGGCUCGCGGCCUAUCAGCUUGUUGGUGGGGUGAUGGCCUACCAAGGCGACGACGGGUAGCCGGCCUGAGAGGGCGACCGGCCACACUGGGACUGAGACACGGCCCAGACUCCUACGGGAGGCAGCAGUGGGGAAUAUUGCACAAUGGGCGGAAGCCUGAUGCAGCGACGCCGCGUGAGGGAUGACGGCCUUCGGGUUGUAAACCUCUUUCAGCAGGGACGAAGCGUAAGUGACGGUACCUGCAGAAGAAGCGCCGGCCAACUACGUGCCAGCAGCCGCGGUAAGACGUAGGGCGCGAGCGUUGUCCGGAUUUAUUGGGCGUAAAGAGCUCGUAGGCGGCUUGUCGCGUCGACUGUGAAAACCCGCAGCUCAACUGCGGGCCUGCAGUCGAUACCGGGCAG
This 590-nucleotide ribosomal RNA is filed under the name uncultured bacterium. RNAcentral's name for it is "bacterial SSU rRNA". It matches the Rfam family "Bacterial small subunit ribosomal RNA", at positions 32 to 639 of the family's 1533-position model. The record is from RNAcentral.